UUUUUAGUACCGUCAUCUUUGCGGUUGUACUGCGUCGGACAUUUUUGCGAAGACUUUCGUGACGGUGGCAGUGCCUUUGCACUACCAGGGGCCAGCGUUAGUACCGCUGGAGUGCCAGCGGUAGUACCGCUGCAACCAGCGGUAGUACCGCUAGCCGUCGGUAGUACCGCCCCUGGUCAGCGGUAGUACCGCUGGAAUGCCAGCGGUAGUACCGCUGGAGCUCGGGCAAAGAGUGGGAAAACGGUUGGAUUUUCCCCCCACUAUAUAAAGGGGGUCUUCUUCCCCCUUGGUCUUAUCUAUCCAUUGAGCUCUUGUUCUACCUCCAUUGUUGACAUUCUUAGAGCUUGCUUACUCUCA
This 357-nucleotide long non-coding RNA is filed under the name Hordeum vulgare. Its description in RNAcentral is "long non-coding RNA (HVUL_LNC000995)". Lineage: Eukaryota; Viridiplantae; Streptophyta; Magnoliopsida; Poales; Poaceae. The record is from RNAcentral.